This 254-nucleotide ribosomal RNA is filed under the name uncultured bacterium. RNAcentral describes it as "partial 16S ribosomal RNA". It matches the Rfam family "Bacterial small subunit ribosomal RNA", at positions 524 to 776 of the family's 1533-position model. The record is from RNAcentral.
GACGUAGGGCGCGAGCGUUGUCCGGAUUUAUUGGGCGUAAAGAGCUCGUAGGCGGUUUGUCGCGUCUGCUGUGAAAACCCGAGGCUCAACCUCGGGCCUGCAGUGGGUACGGGGCAGACUAGAGUGCGGUAGGGGAGAUUGGAAUUCCUGGUGUAGCGGUGGAAUGCGCAGAUAUCAGGAGGAACACCGAUGGCGAAGGCAGAUCUCUGGGCCGUAACUGACGCUGAGGAGCGAAAGCGUGGGGAGCGAACAGG